Molecule: long non-coding RNA, 1820 nt
Organism: Lotus japonicus
Lineage: Eukaryota; Viridiplantae; Streptophyta; Magnoliopsida; Fabales; Fabaceae
Exons: 3
Source: RefSeq, a predicted model, not a curated record
AACGGGAAACGUCAAGAUUAGUUUGAUGUUUCUUUCGUAGAUGAGCCAGGUGCCGAGUUCCAAGCAUAACCUUAGCUAGCUAGCUAGCUAGCUACCAAGACAGAACAAUAUUAUGACCAUGGGUUGGCUUUUGCCCUUCUGAAACGUUUUAUCCUCAUUUUUCCGUUAGCGUUCGUGAAUUACUUCCUCCUGUGUAACGUUUUCCUCAGUUUGAUUUUCUUUCUUCCAUAUACCACCAUUACUUCUUCCUCAGUCGAACCAAGUGAUGCACGCGUUCUUAUCCUUCAUUAUUGCAACACCGGUGGCAGAAUUCUUCAAUUUGAGUUCUUCUUUGAACCACAACUUAUUUCUAUCGACGCAUCCAGUUCUUCUUAGGUUGGGAUUGAGAGCUUUCAUCUCCAUCAGGAUAGAUAGGCAUUUGGAGAGCUGCGCAAUUCUUCUACUUUAAGUGAGCAUGUGCAACUCUUCCAUUAGUUUUUUUUUAUAAGUAAAAUUGAAUAUAUGGGGGUACUAGGAGUACCCCAACCCUGUACAAAGAGUGGAGAAAAUACAGGGGAAAGGGAAGAAAAAAAGGAAAAUAUAAGAGAAGAACAUAACAAUCUGUUACUACUGCUAGGAAAAAAGAAAAAAGAAACAGAAUAAAACAGCCAAAAGACAAAGCCAAUGCCUCUGUCUAAUUCAGAAAAGACAGCCCCUUCCAAGCUCAAACAGCGCCUACUUCAGCUUAGCAAGUAGGUCCACCAUCUCACAAAAUCUGCUGCAGCACGCAAGCUUAUAGGUGCAGCAAAAUGAUCUCCUAAAUUAACAAAACAGCACAAAAGCACAGCUAUAGAUUUUCAGACAGUAUUCAGGUUCAGCAAUCCAUUCAUAAAAAGAAAAAGUGAAAGUUUUUGGAGCUAGCUUUCAGCCAAUUCCAAGAGCGAAGUUGAGCAAGCUCAAAAACUUUUGCAGCAUCCUUGGAACUCUUCCAUUAGUUGCUCUUAUGCCUAUUUUGUGAACUGAAUCAUUUUGAUUUCUUCGUUUAGCCAUUUGCAACUGUAAUUUUGUUUCUCUUUUGCUGCUAUUGUAGCAUUUUAAUUCAUAUCUCAAGGCUAUGCUUCUGUAUUUUGAUAUCACAGGUACUUUUCUUCAAGCGGGGAAAUAUAUGUGGGGCCUUUAGGUUGAGAUUGUUCUCAUCUGAUCAAUCACUUGGAGGUCAGCAACACUAUCUCUAACUACUGAAUUAGUAUUAAAUAAAAGAGGCAUUAUUAUUGAAAUGUUGCAGAAAACAACAUUUUUAUUGCUAUUUUGAGUUUUUGACAUCUUAGUGUAUAUUAGAAAAUGUUUGUAUGACCUACACGACUACACCAGUAUAAGUACACUUAUUGAAAGCUAGAAAACAAUGAUUCGAGGUUGGCCUCAGCUACAUAAAGGGAUUUGAAAGGAAAGCAUGCAAGUACUAUUGUCUUUCUCCAUUGAUUAAAGGUGUUUGGCAGUCUGAUGAAAAGUAUACGCACAAUGGCAGUAACCGCAAGAUUGUUACUCCUGAUCUGGAGGGAAUUAUCUUUCAGCACUUUAUAAAUAAGAUAAAGGUCAUCACGGAAGAAGAGAUUUUGUGUUCGUAGGGGUGACAAAGUUCUGAAAAGCAUUCUUCUAUGGCAUAUUGCAACAUAUCUAUGUUAUAACCCUGUCUCAUGUGAAGAGGAAACAUAUAGCGAAAGGGGUUUAAGUUUUAGAGAAGGAAGAAAAUUGUUAUUAGAGUACAUGUUGUAUCUUAUUGUUAUGAGAACAUCCAUGCUGCCUAAUGAGAUUGGUGAGUAUGUGUCUCCAUUAGUUGGAUA